CAAUAGCGUAUAUUAAAGUUGUUGCAGUUAAAAAGCUCGUAGUUGGAUUUCGGGGUGGCCUGCCUGGUCCACCGCAAGGUGAGUACUGGUCAGCCGCCCUUCCUCUCGAAAGCCCCGACUGCUCUUCAUUGCAGUGGUCGGGUAGUUCGGGACGUUUACUUUGAAAAAAUUAGAGUGUUCAAGGCAGGCUCUCGCCUGAAUACAUUAGCAUGGAAUAAUGGAAGAGGACCUCGGUCCUAUUUUGUUGGUUUCUAGGGCCGAAGUAAUGAUUAAGAGGGACAGUUGGGGGCAUUUGUAUUUCGUCGCUAGAGGUGAAAUUCUUAGAUUGACGAAAGACAAACUGCUGCGAAAGCGUCUGCCAAGGAUGUUUUCAUUGA
RNAcentral lists this ribosomal RNA (377 nucleotides) under uncultured eukaryote. Its description in RNAcentral is "partial 18S ribosomal RNA". It matches the Rfam family "Eukaryotic small subunit ribosomal RNA", at positions 592 to 976 of the family's 1831-position model. The record is from RNAcentral.